RNAcentral lists this ribosomal RNA (275 nucleotides) under uncultured prokaryote. RNAcentral describes it as "partial 16S ribosomal RNA". It matches the Rfam family "Bacterial small subunit ribosomal RNA", at positions 524 to 798 of the family's 1533-position model. The record is from RNAcentral.
UACGGAGGGUGCAAGCGUUAUCCGGAAUCACUGGGCGUAAAGGGCGCGUAGGCGGUCUGUUAAGUCUGGCGUUAAAGCCUGGGGCUCAACCCCAGAUCAGCGUUGGAUACUGGCAGGCUAGACGGUUGGAGAGGCGAGUGGAAUUACCAGUGUAGCGGUGGAAUACGUAGAUACUGGUAGGAACACCCAUUGCGAAGGCAGCUCACUGGACAACACGUGACGCUGAGGCGCGAAAGUGUGGGGAGCAAACCGGAUUAGAUACCCGGGUAGUCCCU